UUGCAGGUUCUCCCUGUGAUCGCGUGGCUUUCCGCCGGGUGCUCCGGUUUCCUCGCAUAACCCAAGGAUGUGAGGGUUUGUAAGUGUAUUGGGCUCUAUACAUUGCCCCUGAUGUGUGGGGAGUGGAAGACAAAGCGGGAUAACACAAAACUGGUGA
Amblyraja radiata (thorny skate) is the source of this 157-nucleotide long non-coding RNA. RefSeq lists it as uncharacterized. The record is from RefSeq and is a predicted model, not a curated record. Lineage: Eukaryota; Metazoa; Chordata; Chondrichthyes; Rajiformes; Rajidae. The transcript is spliced from 3 exons.